Molecule: long non-coding RNA, 251 nt
Organism: Perca fluviatilis (European perch)
Lineage: Eukaryota; Metazoa; Chordata; Actinopteri; Perciformes; Percidae
Exons: 3
Source: RefSeq, a predicted model, not a curated record
CACCAGGGUUGGAGCUUCUAAAUAAGUUUUAAAAUAAUAACUCUAAAAUAAAACAUUAUUUAUUUAUUUUUGACAAUUGCUUGGGAUUUAAAGCAAGACAAGAUGGCUGUCGGAAGGAUCAUAUCAAUGUUCCUGAUUCUUAUAGCUACAACAAGACCAGCUGCACCUAUGACAGCUGCACCAACAACAGCAGCACCAACAACUCCUGCACCUACAACUGCAGCCCCUACAACUGCUGCACCUACAACUCC